GAUGAACGCUGGCGGCGUGCCUAAUACAUGCAAGUCGAGCGAACAGAUGAGGAGCUUGCUCCUCUGACGUUAGCGGCGGACGGGUGAGUAACACGUGGAUAACCUACCUAUAAGACUGGGAUAACUUCGGGAAACCGGAGCUAAUACCGGAUAAUAUAUUGAACCGCAUGGUUCAAUAGUGAAAGACGGUUUUGCUGUCACUUAUAGAUGGAUCCGCGCCGCAUUAGCUAGUUGGUAAGGUAACGGCUUACCAAGGCAACGAUGCGUAGCCGACCUGAGAGGGUGAUCGGCCACACUGGAACUGAGACACGGUCCAGACUCCUACGGGAGGCAGCAGUAGGGAAUCUUGCGCAAUGGGCGAAAGCCUGACGGAGCAACGCCGCGUGAGUGAUGAAGGUCUUCGGAUCGUAAAACUCUGUUAUUAGGGAAGAACAAAUGUGUAAGUAACUAUGCACGUCUUGACGGUACCUAAACAGAAAGCCACGGCUAACUACGUG
Molecule: ribosomal RNA, 497 nt
Filed under: uncultured bacterium
Lineage: Bacteria
Description: partial 16S ribosomal RNA
Rfam family: Bacterial small subunit ribosomal RNA
Source: RNAcentral